CAGAACUGAAUUUUUUUGUUUUUAUACAAAUUUGUUCAUUGCAAAUGAAAAAGAAUAUAGACAUUAACUAUAAAAUUAUAAAUGUGUAUAUUGUGAAGAAAGACAAAUUCCAAAUUCUGGAAAUUGCUUCCUUAGAAUAGUGAAAAAUAAAUUUUCACUAGCCCAAGACUCAACCAAGUUGAAGAAGAACGAAGAAAUUGGAAUAUAGUUCCAAAAAAUGAGGGGAAAAAACCUUUAUUAUUAUAGAGGAAUCUAAGUUACAAGCUUACAACCAAAAGCUUACAAGAGAGAAAGUAGAAACAAGCUUGCAAUGAUAGUUGUUGUUGUUGGUGAUUUGUGUUUGUGUUGG
RNAcentral lists this long non-coding RNA (349 nucleotides) under Panax ginseng (ginseng). Its description in RNAcentral is "long non-coding RNA (PGIN_LNC000922)". The record is from RNAcentral. Lineage: Eukaryota; Viridiplantae; Streptophyta; Magnoliopsida; Apiales; Araliaceae.